This 492-nucleotide ribosomal RNA is filed under the name uncultured bacterium. Its description in RNAcentral is "partial 16S ribosomal RNA". It matches the Rfam family "Bacterial small subunit ribosomal RNA", at positions 28 to 507 of the family's 1533-position model. The record is from RNAcentral.
GACGAACGCUGGCGGCGUGCUUAACACAUGCAAGUCGAACGGAAAGGCCUGCUUUCCCUUGUGGAUUGCGGGUACUCGAGUGGCGAACGGGUGAGUAACACGUGAGUGAUCUGCCCCCAACUUGGGUAUAAGCCUGGGAAACUGGGUCUAAUUCCCGAUAGGACUGCAGGGUGGUGCCUGUGGUGGAAAACGAUUUUCUAGUGGUUGGGGAUGAGCUCGCGGCCUAUCAGCUUGUUGGUGGGGUAAUGGCCUACCAAGGCGGCGACGGGUAGCCGGCCUGAGGGGGGACGGCCACAUUGGGACUGAGAUACGGCCCAGACGCCUACGGGAGGCAGCAGUGGGGAAGAUUGCACAAUGGGCGGAAGCCUGAUGCAGCGACGCCGCGUGGGGGAUGACGGCCUUCGGGUUGUAAACUCCUUUCGACCGCGAGGAAGCCACCUGGUUGGAAGGGUGGUGACGGUAGUGGUAGAAGAAGCACCGGCUAACUACGUG